This 74-nucleotide transfer RNA is filed under the name Saprospiraceae bacterium. RNAcentral's name for it is "tRNA-Phe". It matches the Rfam family "tRNA". Rfam says of the family: Transfer RNA (tRNA) molecules are approximately 80 nucleotides in length. Their secondary structure includes four short double-helical elements and three loops (D, anti-codon, and T loops). The record is from RNAcentral. Lineage: Bacteria; Pseudomonadati; Bacteroidota; Saprospiria; Saprospirales; Saprospiraceae.
GGACGAAUAGCUCAGUUGGUCAGAGCGUCCCGCUGAAGACGGGAAGGUCGGUGGUUCGAUCCCAUCUGCGUCCA